GAACGAAGCACUUAUCUUUGAUUCUUCGGAUGAAGAGGUUUGUGACUGAGUGGCGGACGGGUGAGUAACGCGUGGGUAACCUGCCUCAUACAGGGGGAUAACAGUUAGAAAUGACUGCUAAUACCGCGUAAGACCACGGAGCCGCAUGGCUCGGUGGGAAAAACUCCGGUGGUAUGAGAUGGACCCGCGUCUGAUUAGGUAGUUGGUGGGGUAACGGCCUACCAAGCCAACGAUCAGUAGCCGACCUGAGAGGGUGACCGGCCACAUUGGGACUGAGACACGGCCCAAACUCCUACGGGAGGCAGCAGUGGGGAAUAUUGCACAAUGGGGGAAACCCUGAUGCAGCGACGCCGCGUGAGCGAAGAAGUAUUUCGGUAUGUAAAGCUCUAUCAGCAGGGAAGAAAAUGACGGUACCUGACUAAGAAGCACCGGCUAAAUACGUGCCAGCAGCCGCGGUAAUACGUAUGGUGCAAGCGUUAUCCGGAUUUACUGGGUGUAAAGGGAGCGUAGACGGCUGUGUAAGUCUGAAGUGAAAGCCCGGGGCUCAACCCCGGGACUGCUUUGGAAACUAUGCAGCUAGAGUGUCGGAGAGGUAAGUGGAAUUCCCAGUGUAGCGGUGAAAUGCGUAGAUAUUGGGA
This 638-nucleotide ribosomal RNA is filed under the name uncultured Lachnospiraceae bacterium. RNAcentral's name for it is "bacterial SSU rRNA". It matches the Rfam family "Bacterial small subunit ribosomal RNA", at positions 64 to 702 of the family's 1533-position model. The record is from RNAcentral. Lineage: Bacteria; Bacillati; Bacillota; Clostridia; Lachnospirales; Lachnospiraceae.